UACGAAGGGGGCUAGCGUUACUCGGAUUGACUGGGCGUAAAGGGCGCGUAGGCGGUUUGUACAGUCAGACGUGAAAUUCCUGGGCUCAACCUGGGGGCUGCGUUUGAUACGUGCAGACUUGAGUUCGGAAGAGGGUCGUGGAAUUCCCAGUGUAGAGGUGAAAUUCGUAGAUAUUCGGAAGAACACCAGUGGCGAAGGCGGCUCACUGGACCGGUAUUGACGUUGAGGUGCGAAAGCGUGGGGAGCAAACAGG
Molecule: ribosomal RNA, 253 nt
Filed under: uncultured bacterium
Lineage: Bacteria
Description: partial 16S ribosomal RNA
Rfam family: Bacterial small subunit ribosomal RNA
Source: RNAcentral